Long non-coding RNA from Phycodurus eques (leafy seadragon), 1070 nucleotides. RefSeq lists it as uncharacterized. NCBI's taxonomy places the organism in Eukaryota, Metazoa, Chordata, Actinopteri, Syngnathiformes, Syngnathidae. The record is from RefSeq and is a predicted model, not a curated record. The transcript is spliced from 3 exons.
UCGUACAUCAGAAUCAGCUUUAUUGGCCAAGUAUGUUACAAGAAACAUAAGCCAUUUGUCUCCGGUAGUUGGAGCCACUUUAGUGUGACAACAAACAGCCACUAUGACAAAAUAUACAUUGAGGACAUAGAAAAAACAUGUGUGAGAGUCAUCGAGCAAUAAGCAUAAGUAAAACCAUCUGUGAAAAAAAUGGCCCACUCUGGCCCCAUCUUGUACCGACUUAUUUGAGUUUAAAGAAACCACAACGCCUGAUGGAAAAAAACUACAAAUUAGGGACGGAAGGCGGGGCUGACAAGGUGUCAAUCACUUAUCGUGCACUAGCGUGUAAAUUCAUAGCAGAGAGACCCGCUGCGGCCUCGCACUUACCUGUUACCAUGUCCUUCAGGAGCUUUGCUGAGACUGCGGCAGAAUACUCACCUCUGGAAAGUAAUUGUAAAAUAAAAAAAUGGCCAUCCCUCGUUUGCAAACAACUGGGCAUAAGAAUAUCAAACAGAAGCAUUCAAAGCUAAAAAUAAAGAACUGGACAGAUCCCAGGAUGAACCAAGGAUGAUUACUGGAGUUGCCUUUAAGAGGUGGAGGGACCUCAGGCAGCCGAGAGAUUCCUAAGCAACACGGAAUUAGCAACAAUUCUGCUUGACGGGUAAGUUUAUCACCUCUUUUUGAUGGCAUUCCCUGGUUUUAAAACGUAUUCAGUAUUGUUGUAGUCCAUGCCUCAAACCAUUUUUUUCGUGUUAUUGCUUUGUUAGCAGCCAAAUUCCAUUGUAAGAUAAAAGCCGAUUACAUAUUUUGCAGCAAAACGUCAAUAUUUCAUAUUUGAAAUAUCUUCUGCGUCAGUCUAUAAAUGAACACAAAGCAUUUCAGUGGAUUCACGUCUCUCAAAAGAAAACCAUCAAGGAAGAUGAACGACUGGCGCUCUGAAGACAUCAAUCGACACCUUUUAACGCCUGUCUGUGCAAGUUUGGCCCAAAGAGUGGAAGGUCGGGCCGCGGGGGCAGUGGCCUCAGCAGGGAAGCCCAGUCUUCCCUCUCCCCAGCCACUUCAUCCAGCUCUUCCGAGGGGAUCCCAGACCA